Molecule: non-coding RNA, 5154 nt
Organism: Theobroma umbraticum
Lineage: Eukaryota; Viridiplantae; Streptophyta; Magnoliopsida; Malvales; Malvaceae
Source: RefSeq, a predicted model, not a curated record
UUCCGUGACUCCCGUCUCCUCUCCCCACUCUGUUCUCUUCCCUUGCUCUAAUGAUCCGUCUGUCUUGUCUGACUGUCUCCACUCUCUAUAGUUUAUACUCUCCAAUCUCCACCUUCAUCUCUUCCCCUUCUCACUCUUAAACCUUCAAUAGAUUCUUUCCUCAACGGGCGACGCCUUCGCGGUGGGGUUUCGGUCAAACUCAAGGCCUAUCGCCAGCAGCUCUAUCACCGAAACUGAAACGAGAACUUUUUCCCCGACAGCCCAGACUAGCGCCGUCUUCGUCAAUCCGGUUUAUGUCCCCUCGUCGGCUAAUUGAGACACUCAUACUCUGAUACUCCACAGUCCUCAUAGCUGGAGUUGGUAAUUAGAGUUGAUGUUUAAUGAUUUUUCAAUAAUUUUAGUCGAAAAUUAGUAAUUUUUGUAUUCAAGGCUUAGUUUGACUUGGGUGUUAAUUUGCCAAAACUAGAGAGCCACCCAUAGAAACUAAGACAUCGUGGUACACUUUCUAAGGGAUUUAUGCAGUUAAGAAUGGGUAAGGAUUUCCAAAAUUUAGAUUGAUAUCAGUGUAGAUGGGUUGAACUUGAUAUUUCUUUUGUGGCAGCACAUUAAAUAUAGGAAAUGGUGCAUGUAAAGUCUGAGAAAUUAUUAGUGCGAUUGGACGUACUUAAGGAUCAUUGAGAUAUGUAAGAAAAAGGGAAUAAGAUUUUGAGUGGUAUUAAAGGUAAGCUCCACAUACAUGAGCAUGGAUAUGUUUAAUAUGCUUUCCCUUAAUUGAGUAGAAUUUAAUAAUUAUAUAUAGAUUUCAAAGGAAUAUGUGAAUUGAAUUUUAAGCAUUCAUAGAUGCUACCUAAAUUGAGCAUUUAAUGUCAUGUACAAGUUGCUAGACACAUAUAACUCGAGACCUAGCACUAAAAAUUCAGCUGCGAUAAUUAAUUCUUGAUGGUAAGAAUGGUAAGUAAAAUGUGAGAUUAAAGUUAUGAAUCUAUUUGUUGGCAGCAUGUGUAAAGUACACAGCAUUGAAAUUUAUUAAAUGUUAUUAAAUGUUAUUAAAUGUUUUUGGGAUUAAUUGUUGCCAGGAGAAUUGAUAGAAAAAUUGAUAGUUUUUACGCCUGCAGUCCAAAUAUUUUUUUUUGUGUGGAAGAAUGAACCUUAUUUCAUAGGGUGGCGAUUUCCCUUUUUGUUGUGAUUCUGUAAAUGGUCACUGGUUUAGCUUUUCGGUAGCAUGAAGAGCAAGCAAAAGUCUUUGUAUAGCAAUUCAUGGACACGGGAAUAAAAUAAAAGAUAAUGCUUAUAUUAUUAACUUUCUUUACCUUACCUUUUACUUUCUAAAUAAAAAGAUAAAAUGUUUGCUAUUAGUGAUAGAUUCUUAAUUAUAUUUGCUCAUAUUUUUUUAUUAUGUGCUAUUAGUGGUAGAUUCUUUAAUAGAUUUUUCAUUCUUGAAUACCAUAUUUGCUAAUUAAUUAAUUCUUUUUGAGUGAUAGAUUGAAGAUUUCAAUGGCAAGUGAAAGCGAUAAUCCGACUCCUACUCCUAGUGAUGCUGCUACGCAGCCUAUGCCUAUUGGGAUGCCAUCAUCGUUACCAACACCAACUACACAGCAAACUAUAAUCUGCACUAAUGAAAGUGAUGUUAUCAAUUCUAAGAAACGAAAAGCACUUCCACCGAGGUAUGAAGUUUAGAAACACUUCACCAGAUUCGUAAAUGAUCAAGGUGAACAAAAAGCUAGAUGUAAUUAUUGUGAUAGGGUAUUUUUUGCUAAUACUAAAUAUAAUGACAUAACUUCAUUGAAGAAUCACAUGAAUUCUUGCAAAAAGUUUCCUAGUUCUGUUAAUGAUUCUACUCAAACUGAGUUAGUUUUUCAAUCAGGGGAUGGGUCAAUAGGAACUUGAAAAUGUAGUCAAUAAGCCAUUAGAAAGUAUCUAGCUAAAAUGAUCAUCAGAGAUGAGUUACUUUUCAGAUUUGUAGAAGGGGAAGGAUUUAAGGAAUUCAUGUUAACUUCAUGUCCUAGAUUUAUUGUGCCAUCACGAUGGACUGUUGCUAGAGAUUGCUUUAACCUUUUUGUUGAUGUAAAGAACCAUUUCAAGCAUAUAUUGAGAACAUCUUCUUUUAGAGUUUUUCUAACCACAAACACAUGGACAUCAAUUCAAAGCGAGAAUUAUAUGUGUCUUACAGCUAACUUUAUAAACAAUGAUUAGAAAUUGCACAAAAGAAUUUUAAACUUUUGUCCCAUUUAUAGUCAUAAAGGGGAGGCCAUUGGGAAAAUGAUUGAUAAAUGUUUGCGUGAUUGGGAGAUUAGUAAGGUUUCACUAUUACUGUUGAUAAUGCUAGUUCCAAUGAUGUUGCAAUAUCACAUAUGAAGAAAAAAUUGAACUUAUCAGAAAAUAGUUUUUUAGAAAGCAAAUUUCUACAUAUGAGAUGCAUUGCACAUAUCAUUAAUCCCAUUGUCACUGAUGGAUUGAAGGAAAUGAAUGAUUCAAUUGCUUGUAUUAGAGGGGCAGUUAGAUAUGUGAAACAGUCACCUGCUAGGUUAGUAAAGUUCAAAGAAUGUGUUGAGUCUGCAAAUAUUCAAUCAGAAAAUUUGUUGUGUUUGGAUGUUAGUACUCGAUGGAAUUUCACUUAUUUGAUGUUAGAAAUAGCUCAAAAGUUUGAAGAAGCCUUUAAUUUAUUUGAGGAAACUGAUUCUUAGUAUAGAACUGAUUUGUUGAUGGGAGAUGAGAUACAUGAACAUGAGGAUUGGGAAAAUGUGAGAAUGUUGAAUCUUUUCUUGAAAUAUUUUUACACACUCACAGUAACAGUUUCAGGUACUUCUUAUGCCACAAUUAAUACUUUUCUUGAUGAUAUUUGUGGUAUUUAUUGCAUUUUGAGAGAUAGACAAAGACAUCCUGAUGUUGAGUUGCAAACAAUGGCAAAGAAAAUGAAAGAAAAAUUUGAUAAGUAUUAGGAAAAUAUAGAAAAAAAUGAAUAAGCUGCUUUACGUUGCUUCUAUUCUUGAUCCAAGGAAGAAAAACGUAUUUGUAGAAUUUUGUUUUAGAAAAAUGUAUUCAAAUGAGCAAGCUUCAUCGAUUUGUGUGAGUUUGAAAAAAAUAAUAAAAAAGUUGCUUGUUGAAAACCAAAAAAACGUACAGUCUCCUCUUGAGAAAGUUGGUGAUAGUAGUCAAUCCCAAGUGAGCCAAAUUUCAGAAUUUGAUGAUGAUAUUGACUCCAGUGCUAGUGUUGCUCUUCUGAAUGAAUUUAAGAGAUAUAAAAUUACAAUUGUUAGGGAAGAGGAUAAAUCAAAAUUGGAGAAAUAUUUGAGUUUAAAUGAGCCUGAUGCAACCGAUAGCGAUAAUUUUGAUGUUCCCAUUUGGUGGAAACUCAAUAGUAAUAGGUAUCUUACUCUUGCCCUACUAGCUCGUGAUGUAUUAGUGAUUCCUCUAUCCACAGUUGCUUCGGAAUCAGCUUUAACACCGGUGGUCGUGUGCUUGAUGUAUAUAGGAGUUCUUUAAUGUCUAAGAUGGUGCAAGCCCUUAUUUGUGCUCAAGAUUGGCUACGUGGAUCUUUUUAUUAUCUUCAUGACACUGAGAAUGAUUUGACAGAGCUUGAGAAAGUUGAUGAAGGUGCUGUAUGAUUGAUUGGUAGAACACUGGGAGCAAGAAAAAGAGGUUUUUUUUUUUUUUCUUAUAAUGGGGGGAGUGGAGAAUCAUAUAUCUGAUGAUAUUUUGGAGGAUUUAAGGUUUUAUGGUCGGUUGAAGAAAGAGCGCGGCAUGUUGGAAAAUUUUAGGCCUAGUUGUAGUAGUAAUGGUAAGGGAAAUAAGAAGAUAAAUAACAAACAAUGCAAUGAAAUUGACAUGGACGAGAGUUUAAAGGAUUCGGAUUAUGAAACAUUUAUCAGUAGUUUAGAGCAGUAUGGUUAUGGCCAUGAUCAUGAUCAUGAUCGUGAGAAAGGGAAGGAGAGGGAUCCUCAGUAUGAGAUGUUUUUGGAGAAUCUUAAACCGGAUGGGACAUCAUACUUAGCUGAAAUUCCAUUGAGUUGUGGCCUUUCAAUUAUAAUUAGGUAUGAAGAAAAGGAACAAGGGUCCUUUGAGAAUGUGGAAAGAAUGAGAAAUUUUAAGAGCAAUUCAAAAAGGGUAAAGGCUGAGGUUCCAGACUAUUUGGAUGGGUUUUCAAGGAAAGCAAAGACUGAUUUGAGAAGGAUAAAGGCUAAGGUUCCAGAAAAUUCAGGUGGUUUUUCAAGGAAAGCAAAGGCUGAGAUGUCGAAAGCUGUGAAGAAGGAUUUGAAGAUUGGAGAAAAGAAAAGAAAGCGGAAAGUAAGAGAUGUUCCGACUGGGGAAAGAAAGAGUGCAGGAGAUGAGAACCAAGUAAAAGAGGAAGCUGAGGAUGAUUCUAUUCCUCCUAGGUCAAGUGGAGAACCUUCUAAGAAGAUGAAUCUUGAUAUGGUAGAUGAAAGCUGGGAAGAGUUUUUGAAUUCUCGGUCUAAGCGUGGCGAGAAAGUGGUAUUUAGCGAUGAAAGUGGUCAUGAAGGUAGACAUUGGAAGGAUGAUGAGAGUUCUUCUGAUGUGGAAAUACUUGCAUCAGACAAUAUUCCUUUUCAUGAAGGAGGUUAUACACCAUUUGUACCAGCAAAGUCCUAUCAAUCCUUGACCGGUGAUGAGAGUUGGGACGGCAUAAAAAAUUCUAGCCUGUCUCAGUUUAGGGAGAAGCUUAUGAAUCUUCUUAAAAAGCCUUAUGACCAAGAGGAGUUUGAUUAUCUUUGGCGAGAAGUAACUUACAAGAAACCAGUGCAGGGUGUUAGAGACUUACGUAAUGGACGAAUGAAAGCAUAUUCAACCAAAACUGAUGGAAAAUCAUACCUUGAUUGGUACAAAAAACUAAAAAUUAAAAUUGAUGAAUUCAGGUGUGAUCGACAUAAAAUUUUAUGUCUCUUACGUGGAUUUUUCUUUUGGUUGGAGGUGAGUGUUUUAUAUCAUCAGUGCAUCUUCUCAUUUUCCUCCUGUAUCCUGCCUAGGCCUCUUAGAUGCUAACAAAUUUUCCUAGCAAAAUUCAGAGCCGGGUUAAAAAAUGGUGGACUGGGGAACAGGGAGAAGAGCAGAAUACUGCUCAUGAAGGUUCAUUUCAGCCUUGGUUGGACUCUUUAUAUUUGAAUGCAUUGGAUGGCCAGAGAUUUUCUCUGAAUUGAG